RNAcentral lists this ribosomal RNA (253 nucleotides) under uncultured Luteolibacter sp. RNAcentral describes it as "partial 16S ribosomal RNA". It matches the Rfam family "Bacterial small subunit ribosomal RNA", at positions 524 to 776 of the family's 1533-position model. The record is from RNAcentral. Lineage: Bacteria; Pseudomonadati; Verrucomicrobiota; Verrucomicrobiia; Verrucomicrobiales; Verrucomicrobiaceae.
UACGAAGGUCCCGAGCGUUGUUCGGAAUCACUGGGCGUAAAGGGAGCGUAGGCGGUGCGGCAAGUCAGAUGUGAAAUCCCGGGGCUCAACCCCGGAACUGCAUCCGAUACUGCCGUGCUAGAGGAUUGGAGAGGCAGCUGGAAUUCACGGUGUAGCAGUGAAAUGCGUGGAUAUCGUGAGGAACACUCGUGGCGAAAGCGAGCUACUGGACAACUCCUGACGCUGAGACUCGAAGGCCGGGGGAGCAAAAGGG